CUCCAGAGGGCGCCAGAGUGAUUCCAUGCUAAGCCGUGGCUAAGGAAGUCCCCAGGAAUACAGUGGAAAGAGGUCGGCUGCAGAGUCAGAAAGACCUGGGCUACAAACCUGAUUCUACUUCUUCCUUGACAAGUGGCCUUGGGCAGUGCACUUGACCUAUUAGAGUUUCAGCUUGCUGGUCUGUAAAAUGAGGGUUAGCAAUACCCUACUUCUAAGGGUUGCUGUGAAGACUCCAUGAGAUAAAGGAUUCAGGAUUAAAUGAGAUAACAAAGACCAAGAAGGCAGGGGAGACAUAGAAUGAUUGCAAAAGAUCUGUGUUACCACUGGCACCUUAAGUCCAUUACCCGCACACUGAAUUAAGGCCGACUGGUCAUAGAUGGUCAGUUUUCACAUAUCCAUCAGUGUUCUUAUAAUAAAACUGGAAUUUAGUGAAGAGCAUAUUCCAGAAUUCACAUUGGCCUUUGUCAUGGCCUUGUUUUCAAUCAACAGAUGCUAAGCACUGUGGCUGCUCUGUGCGGGGGUCUGCAGAUGGCUUUGCCAUGAAACAAGAGUCCUCAGAGGCCCCCAGGAAGGUCAGGAACUACCGAGACAAUGCAGGAAACUCUAAAGGAGCAAGCCUCUCCUGCUGGGCCAGAGGGGCCGGACUGGAUUGGAACUCAGAGCUAACUCCAAAGACCUCAGACUCUCAGCUCUAUAAAGCUGCUUCUCCAACUGGAAGUCAAGAUUCCCCCAGGGAAGCCGAGGAAAGCACUGUGACGAUGCUGAUGCUGGUGGCCAUUACUGGGCAUCUGCUAUGAAUGGAUACAUACCCAGAUGCGAAUAACGAUGGCAGUUACUGUUGAGCAUCUACAGUGUGUAUUUUACACUCAUCACUGCAUGUACUCUUCUCAUUACACCUAGGAGGUAAAUGUCAUUAUUCCCAUUUGACAAAAGACAAAAAUAGGGUGAGGCAGCUGCCUAGCCUCACUGGUUGUGGAACAACCAGAAUUUCCAAACCGAGGUUAUUCUGGCUCCAAAGUCUUCCUACUCACUUAACCCACUGCUGUUCCUUGUUCUGCUGGCCUCAUAUGACCUGAGUUUUCAAUGAGCAAAUCCUAGUUUCUUCACCGGACCCAAAUCCCAUCUGCACUUUUAUUCCCACCACUGCUCACCUGUCAGGAAGAACUGAUGACAUUUUAUCCCCUGUG
RNAcentral lists this long non-coding RNA (1187 nucleotides) under Papio anubis (olive baboon). Its description in RNAcentral is "lncRNA (ENSPANG00000038748.1)". Lineage: Eukaryota; Metazoa; Chordata; Mammalia; Primates; Cercopithecidae. The record is from RNAcentral.